Molecule: ribosomal RNA, 253 nt
Filed under: uncultured bacterium
Lineage: Bacteria
Description: partial 16S ribosomal RNA
Rfam family: Bacterial small subunit ribosomal RNA
Source: RNAcentral
UACGAAGGGGGCUAGCGUUGCUCGGAAUUACUGGGCGUAAAGCGCACGUAGGCGGUCUUUUAAGUCGGGGGUGAAAUCCUGGAGCUCAACUCCAGAACUGCCUUCGAUACUGAAAGUCUUGAGUAUGGGAGAGGUGAGUGGAACUGCGAGUGUAGAGGUGAAAUUCGUAGAUAUUCGCAAGAACACCAGUGGCGAAGGCGGCUCACUGGCCCAUUACUGACGCUGAGGCACGAAAGCGUGGGGAGCAAACAGG